Molecule: long non-coding RNA, 2316 nt
Organism: Acinonyx jubatus (cheetah)
Lineage: Eukaryota; Metazoa; Chordata; Mammalia; Carnivora; Felidae
Exons: 2
Source: RefSeq, a predicted model, not a curated record
CCUGUACACAGGAGAUGCCCACAUCAGAGAAAGGGCCUAAAAGGCAGACAGACAGAUCAGUAGAACCUUUCUUGCCCCACAGGAGUGAGUCAGGGUGGGAUCUGUGCACCCUGCACACUCUGUCCAACCUUGCUUAGGGCCAUCAAGCCAGCACAAGGGCAGGGCCAAGUCCAACCAGGAUAACACGCAGCCUGGCCAUAGCAAUUGGCUCCUAUCCUUUACCCUCAAUCCCAGAGGCAUUAGCAAGAGACAGGGCAUCACCUGUGCCCAGGGAUUGGGCCAUCCCAAUUCAGGGAGCAUAAUUGCUGUUCCAGCCGGGAGAUGCGGAAUGCCAGAUACGAUGAGGACAUGACCAAGAAGCAGAUCCUGGAGAAAGAGAGAUAAGAAGGAUAUCUUAUCUAGGAAAAGGGCAUUUUUAGAGGCUCACCAGAAAUAGGAGUGGGGACUAAGCUACUUCCAGUUGUACUUGGAGGAAUUAGAGACUCUUGCCCUUUAGCUACAUUCAGGCCUGGACAUGUUUGUUCUGAGAGGCCACGUGGGGGUCCUGAGACUCGUCCCCAUGGAGGUGUCCUCAAAGCCCAGCAAGAAUUCUAGGUCCUUAAACUGAGCCCACCCUCCCUCUGACUGGCCACCUUGAUCCCGUGCUUCCUUUUCAAGACCACAGAGAUCAUCCCCUAAGGAGACAGGUCCACAUUCCCCCAGCAAGUGCUGAAGCUGACAGUCAGAACUCAGCCAGCAAAACCAGAGGAAGGUCAUGAGGUAAGGUGAGGGGAAGCCAGGGGCUGGCUGUUCAUGAAACACCCCACCAUGCUCACCGCUCUCCUGGCCCUCAGGCCAAAUUACAGACACGUCUGGGGUUCCAAAAACUGCUCUAAAGGUAGGUAGCAGGAAAGCUGUGGCUCUCCUCUAGUCUAUCUGAUGGCCCUCUCCAAUUCGGUCAGCCCUCCCCCUCCCCAAUCCUGUGCAACUUUUAUUCAACAGUUUCGUAUCCUGCCAGACUUAAUCCUAAAUUACAGGGUUGUAUGAAUAAAAACUGGAGAUAUUUUGUCUUGCUUCAGAAGGGCCUGCCAUGUAGCCUCCAGACUCUGCCCAGGACUUUCAGUUGACCUGGGAACUCCCCACACACAGAGGCCCCUGCCAGACACCCAGAAGUAGGGGGAAGAAAAGCCUGGUCUUUACAAACGUGAUCAUGGACAAGCCCCCUGAGCUCACCAGAGCCUGGAGGCUUCCUGGAGGGAAAGAAGCUGUCGGUGGAGUCCAUGGAUGCCCGAGGGAUACAAGGGAUGUUGUCUGGAAGGGACAGGGACCUGGAGGCAGGGCACACCUUUCUCCACUUCAUCUCAGGGAUGAGGACUUCCUGCAGAGAAGGAGGGAGAAAUCGUCUAUGACCCUUGGGAUCUUACUUGUCCUAAGGGCCCACACUAGGUUUAUCACACCUUCUCCAGAUAUUACCAAUAUGGAAUCCUAGUGAGCAUGAUGUCAGGUACCCACAAGGGGAGAAACCAUUACCAUAGCAACCACAUGUAUCUCUUAUCUGCUCCUUUGCUGUGACCAGCCAUUCUUCCAGGGAACAAUGUCUCCGAAGACUGCUAGUACAGAACCAGAAUGGGAUCUAAGACGCGAGCAAACCCAGGUAUAUGUUCAGAUCUGCUGAGUCCAAGAAAGCUCAGCACAAUAUAAUUUAGAUGGGAUAAGUCCUUCUAAUCUGGACUCUAACCCUAAGGACAUUACUGACCUUGGCAGGGGACACUUAGGAUUCCCACCAACAAAAAUGGGAACAUCACCUUCUAUCCCCUGCAUAGAAGUGUGCAUAUCGUAUGCUUGGCUAAACGCUUAAUGAUUAAUGAAGGAGGCUUCAAACACCCUGGGGUCAUUUCCAUCCGCAUCACUGUUCUAGAAACUCAGCUCUGCCUACCCACAACCCCAGCAGCAAAGGAGACUGCUGGGGCCGCAGCAAAUCUCAAAUGAGUCUGUCUGGGUUCUACAGCGAUACCCUUUGAAGUUCUUCCCUGAGGAUAUCUCUAUCCCCUGGAAGGCCCUCUUGAUCCUGCUAAAGGAAAGAGGGUGGGUCACUGGCUCUCUGUCUGUACAGAAGUGGGAUCCAACCUGGGUGGUGUUCUGGGGGCUGGACAUCUGUUCUGCUCAGAAAGUCCACAGAGCUGCCCAGGACCUAGUGGCUCUACAUGGUAUGGAGCAUGGUGGGUCUAGGGAACCCCCUGGCAGAGCAUGGCCACUGGCUCUUGAACCUGGAGCCCAAGUUCUGCAUUGUAGACCCUCCUGGGAGGCCCUGAAGCCUCAGAGGCAUAGGGUCCCUCA